This 85-nucleotide non-coding RNA is filed under the name Trichobilharzia regenti. Its description in RNAcentral is "Eukaryotic large subunit ribosomal RNA". It matches the Rfam family "Eukaryotic large subunit ribosomal RNA", at positions 2241 to 2310 of the family's 3401-position model. The record is from Rfam by way of RNAcentral. Lineage: Eukaryota; Metazoa; Platyhelminthes; Trematoda; Strigeidida; Schistosomatidae.
CGCGGGUAAACGGCGGGAGUAACUAUGACUCUCUUAAGGUAGCCAAAUGCCUCGUCAUCUAAUUCCGCCCGGUGCUCUGAGUGUC